RNAcentral lists this ribosomal RNA (492 nucleotides) under uncultured bacterium. RNAcentral's name for it is "bacterial SSU rRNA". It matches the Rfam family "Bacterial small subunit ribosomal RNA", at positions 8 to 526 of the family's 1533-position model. The record is from RNAcentral.
AGAGUUUGAUCCUGGCUCAGGACGAACGCUGGCGGCGUGCUUAACACAUGCAAGUCGAGGGGGCCCAGCAAUGGGUCACCGGCGAACGGGUGCGUAACACGUGAGCUACCUACCGAGUUGUGGGGAAUAGCCGGCCCAACGGCCGGGUAAUACCGCAUACGCUCUCUUUGGGGCAUCCUGAGGAGAGGAAACGCUUGCGGCAAUUCGAGGGGCUCGCGGCCUAUCAGCUAGUUGGUGAGGUAACGGCUCACCAAGGCGAUGACGGGUAGCUGGUCUGAGAGGACGGCCAGCCACACGGGGACUGAGACACGGCCCCGACUCCUACGGGAGGCAGCAGCAAGGAAUUUUCCGCAAUGGGGGAAACCCUGACGGAGCAACGCCGCGUGCGGGAUGACGCUUUUCGGAGUGUAAACCGCUUUUCUGGGGGAUGAUGGAGGACAGUACCCGAGGAAGAAGGCCCGGCUAACUACGUGCCAGCAGCCGCGGUAAUAC